Molecule: ribosomal RNA, 517 nt
Filed under: uncultured bacterium
Lineage: Bacteria
Description: bacterial SSU rRNA
Rfam family: Bacterial small subunit ribosomal RNA
Source: RNAcentral
UGCCUUACACAUGCAAGUCGAACGGCAGCGGGCCUUCGGGUGCCGGCGAGUGGCGAACGGUGAGUAAUGCAGUCGGAACGUGCCAUUGAGUGGGGGAUAACGUAGCGAAAGUUGCGCUAAUACCGCAUAUUCUGUGAGCAGGAAAGCAGGGGACCGCAAGGCCUUGCGCUCUUUGAGCGGCCGAUGUCAGAUUAGCUAGUUGGUGAGGUAAAGGCUUACCAAGGCGACGAUCUGUAGCGGGUCUGAGAGGAUGAUCCGCCACACUGGAACUGAGACACGGUCCAGACUCCUACGGGAGGCAGCAGUGGGGAAUUUUGGACAAUGGGGGCAACCCUGAUCCAGCCAUGCCGCGUGAGUGAAGAAGGCCUUCGGGUUGUAAAGCUCUUUCGGCCGGGAAGAAAUCGCAUGGGUGAAUACCCUGUGUGGAUGACGGUACCGGAACAAGAAGCACCGGCUAACUACGUGCCAGCAGCCGCGGUAAUACGUAGGGUGCGAGCGUUAAUCGGAAUUACUGGGC